UACGAAGGGGGCUAGCGUUGUUCGGAAUCACUGGGCGUAAAGCGCACGCAGGCGGAUCGAUAAGUCGGGGGUGAAAGCCCGGGGCUCAACCUCGGAAUUGCCUUCGAUACUGUCGGUCUCGAGUCCGGGAGAGGUGAGUGGAAUUCCUAGUGUAGAGGUGAAAUUCGUAGAUAUUAGGAAGAACACCAGUGGCGAAGGCGGCUCACUGGCCCGGUACUGACGCUGAGGCACGAAAGCGUGGGGAGCAAACCGG
This 253-nucleotide ribosomal RNA is filed under the name uncultured bacterium. RNAcentral describes it as "partial 16S ribosomal RNA". It matches the Rfam family "Bacterial small subunit ribosomal RNA", at positions 524 to 776 of the family's 1533-position model. The record is from RNAcentral.